CGAACGUCAGUCGAUACUCGACCCGCCAGCCUCAGCUAUGGAUGGCGCAGAUGCGCAGUAAGCAGUUGGAGAUUCACCGGGCUCCUGUGAUAAAGUUGCAUAAUUCAAUUACGUUCUAAAAAAAUUGUAAAAUGUCUACUGCCACGCCGAAAUUUUUUCACAAAUUCCAAUUCCCCAUUAUAAUGGGUAGUUUUCUCGUUGGAGCAUGCACGGCUUUUAUGUUUCGAUACAGCUUAAUGGGGGAUUUGGAACCACAACGUGAGAUUUUAGUCCCCGAAGACAAAGAGAGUCGAGCUCUUGGAGAGCAGGGAAUAAGAGAACAUUGGCAAAAAUCCUGAGCACCCAUAGGAGCAAGUUUUUCGUCUUUGCUAUUCAAGCUGCUCAUCAUUUGUAAAGACGGUGUAUGUGCUGAUACAGUAUUUUUGCAUCUCCAGUACUUUGGAGAUCCCAGCAGCCGUAGAAUCAUCAGGACCGGCUAUUGCCAUUGACAUACAUUUUAUAUUUUUCGAGAUCCAUUAACUUAGGUAGACACAAUACUAUACGCAUUUAUGUAUCUACAUACGGUUGAUCCACGGUAUAUCAGGAAAUGUUUUAUUUAAUACAGUUACAUGAGAAAAGGGUGAAGCUAAUAAUUUACUUCUACAUGUUCACAAUAUUCGAGUUGAAUGAAACCGUAAUACCUGCUAUAUAUAACUUGAUAAUAUUGUAGUUUUAAAUAAGCAAUGCGAGCAAUCACGUAACGGGUUUAUUUAUUCAUUCGUCAAACAAUUUGUAUGCAAAUUUUGGAAACCGAUUACGUAAAAUACGUUGUGAGUUACCUUGAAAUUGUAUCGCUUUGGUUGAAAUAAAUGUAAUUGUUUUCGCCGGUCAGUUUAUUGCGCAGCUGACGCGAGUGCAGCUAUGGAAUACUAAUAAACGGUUUGUCAAUUCUUGA
Molecule: long non-coding RNA, 934 nt
Organism: Diprion similis
Lineage: Eukaryota; Metazoa; Arthropoda; Insecta; Hymenoptera; Diprionidae
Exons: 2
Source: RefSeq, a predicted model, not a curated record